Molecule: long non-coding RNA, 1701 nt
Organism: Sitodiplosis mosellana (orange wheat blossom midge)
Lineage: Eukaryota; Metazoa; Arthropoda; Insecta; Diptera; Cecidomyiidae
Exons: 2
Source: RefSeq, a predicted model, not a curated record
UUUACCUGUAGUAACAAAAGAGAGGCAUAUCGACAUUAAUUUUUUUACGGAUUUUUUUAUGUGUAUUUUUGGAGAAAAUAGACUACGGCAUACACCUAUCGUUAUAAAGGAUAUAUAUAAAUUCGUAUAAACUUCAAUAACCAAACGGAAAAAAGCAAAAAAAGGGUGAUUUUCAUAGUUUUUGAGCCUAUAAAUCUGAUUUUAUCAUCAGUUUGGCCACACCAUCUCCAAUUCGCUCCAAUUUUCGAGAUAUGCCACUAAAAGUGUGCCUGUCAUGGCGGCUCCAACGGCGUUGUUAUGAAAUGAAAAUGGAAUCAUAUCAUUACGAACCGUUACAAAAUCGUACGAAAUCAGACGAAAUCGGACGAAAUUGGCAUAUUGACUAAAAAUUGGUCAUGUACACACUUCAAAAAUACCUUGUAACGACAUUUUUCAAUUUCGAGGACAAAAUAUUGAUGUACAACAUUCCUCGUAAUGACGAGGAAACAAGUCGUUAGACUUAAAUUUUGCUGAAGGUUGAGGUACACCUACCAAUGGUAUAUCGUGGAAUAUGCGUUACAGGUCGAUCAAAGCUGUGAAUACGUCGAUUAAAUUUUCGAAGUGAAAGCAAUUUUCAUUAGAAAAUCGCGUAAUUCAAGGAAUUGAAAAUAAACGUUAAAAAAAAAAUAAAAUAAUUAUAAUAUUUCAUCUUUUUUAGAUGUUGGAGAAUACCAAUUGAACAGAAUAUGUGGAAAUCUUGAGUUUUGCUUUAUUUGUGAAUCAGUCAAAUGCAUUUCAAAUAAUACAAAUUCCAACAAUACGGUCUCAAUGGUUACUACAACGAAUACUUCAACAGGUGCUUCAAUGAAACAAAAUCGAUGGCACGACUUGGAUUUGUCAUUCGCAGUACAAGACAAUUCAAAGAUCCAUACACAUUAAAGGCACUUUUUUGCUCUCUAGUUCGCUCAAUACUCGAGUACUCAUCUGUCAUCUGGUCGCCAUCCUAUGCUAACCACAUUAGUCGCAUUGAGUCCAUACAGAAGAAAUUCCUUCUAUAUUCUCUCAGAAACAUUUAUCGUAAUAUUGAGAGACCAGACCUUCCAUCUUAUAAGGCUCGACUCAAAUUGCUGUCUAUGGAUUCGUUAUACUCAAGAAGAGUUUCAACUGAUCUCAUAUUUUUACACAGAGUUAUUUAUGGCCAUAUUGAUUCACCAGAAAUUUUCUCACGCAUAAACUUCAACACUCGAAUAAAUAUACGAAAGAAAGACAAUCUGAUAUACCUUCCAAUUUGCCGUACCAAUUUUGGUCAACAGCAAUCAUUAUAUAGGAUGUGUAGUACAUAUAAUCGUUACUCAACGUCAUUCGAUUUCAAUGCAACACCUCAGCUCAUUAGGCAAAUUGUAAAUAACACAUUAUCGAACUGAUUGUAUCUCAUAAUAAUUAAUUGUUUAACCAUUGCAAUCGGUUUAAUCCGGUUGUAAGAAUGCCACUUCGAAAUCGUUAGGAUUGGUGGCUAAACCGUGAUUAAAAUCGGUGCACUUCUUCGGUUGCAAUGGCAUAAUAAACAUGUAUAUUGUUAUUUUUUUCUCAUUGUUAUUAUUAUUGUCUUAAUACCUGUAGGAAAAUAUUCUGUUUGGUAAUAAAGAAAUUAAAUUAAAUUAAACAUGGAAAUGUGUAAAUAUACAAUCAAAUGUGGAAUAAAAUAUAUAAAUUGACAGAAAA